This is a non-coding RNA of Arachis ipaensis, 576 nucleotides long. NCBI's taxonomy places the organism in Eukaryota, Viridiplantae, Streptophyta, Magnoliopsida, Fabales, Fabaceae. The record is from RefSeq and is a predicted model, not a curated record.
CAAAUAUAUAUAUAUAGUCUUGUGAGUCCAAUAGUCAAUCAUGCUUUUCGCUAUAUCCAAUGUACACAACAAUGAACGUUAUAUUACUACAUUAUGCAACAAAGGAACUAUGUAACUUUGAAUCCUUAUCUUUUAUGUGCCUCACUCUUUUUCAUAUAUAAAGAGUAGGGCGGCAACAGUCUCAGACUACAAGGAACAAGGUCCAUAUUUUGGAGUUAUUAUAAGGCCAUCCUUGUCUUGAUCUUAAUAAAUAAUUAUUAUGAUAAUAACAUUUGAACCAAAUAAUGACAACUCCUAGGAAAUAUCUUCAAAAGCAGUUAUGAUAUUGUUAAAUUUACAUGACAAACUUGACCAGAAUAAUUCCUACAAUUAUUGGCAUAAGACACAAUCCUUAUUGAGAUAUAAUUAAUCUUUUAAUAUUAGUUAGCUUUAUCAAAAGUUUAAACUUUCAUCUCCUCACCGACACUUGUUGAUGUUGAUUUAAAUAACAUCAAUGUAGGUGGCUGAUGUUGAACCAUGUUUCAUUUUUAUAGAUUUUAUUAUUCUUGCUAAAUAAUAAUUUUCAAUGAAAGUCUU